CCUACGGGCGGCUGCAGUGGGGAAUAUUGGACAAUGGGGGGAACCCUGAUCCAGCCAUGCCGCGUGUGUGAAGAAGGCCCUCGGGUUGUAAAGCACUUUCAGUGAGGAAGAACGCCUGGUGGUUAAUACCCAUCAGGAAAGACAUCACUCACAGAAGAAGCACCGGCUAACUCCGUGCCAGCAGCCGUGGUAAUACGGAGGGUGCGAGCGUUAAUCGGAAUUACUGGGCGUAAAGCGCGCGUAGGUGGCUUGAUAAGCCGGUUGUGAAAGCCCCGGGCUCAACCUGGGAACGGCAUCCGGAACUGUCAAGCUAGAGUGCAGGAGAGGAAGGUAGAAUUCCCGGUGUAGCGGUGAAAUGCGUAGAGAUCGGGAGGAAUACCAGUGGCGAAGGCGGCCUUCUGGACUGACACUGACACUGAGGUGCGAAAGCGUGGGUAGCAAACAGGAUUAGAUACCCUGGUAGUC
RNAcentral lists this ribosomal RNA (465 nucleotides) under Vreelandella stevensii. Its description in RNAcentral is "partial 16S ribosomal RNA". It matches the Rfam family "Bacterial small subunit ribosomal RNA", at positions 338 to 795 of the family's 1533-position model. The record is from RNAcentral. Lineage: Bacteria; Pseudomonadati; Pseudomonadota; Gammaproteobacteria; Oceanospirillales; Halomonadaceae.